CGCGUUCGAUUCCGGAGAGGGAGCCUGAGAAACGGCUACCACAUCCAAGGAAGGCAGCAGGCACGCAAAUUACCCAAUCCCAGAACGGGGAGGUAGUGACGAAAAAUAACAAUACGGGACUCUUAUGAGGCCCCGUAAUUGGAAUGAGAACAAUCUAAAUCCUUUAACGAGGAUCUAUUGGAGGGCAAGUCUGGUGCCAGCAGCCGCGGUAAUUCCAGCUCCAAUAGCGUAUAUUAAAGUUGUUGUGGUUAAAAAGCUCGUAGUUGGAUCUCAGUUCGAGUCAGGCGGUCCACUUGCCAGUGGCUACUGCCUGACUGAACACUUUACCGAGUUGUCCUAUGGUGUUCUUCACCGAGCGUCAUAGGCGAUCGGUACGUUUACUUUGAAAAAAUUAGAGUGCUCAAAGCAGGCGUAACGCCCGAAUAAUGUUGCAUGGAAUAAUGGAAUAGGACCUCGGUUCUAUUUUGUUGGUCUUCGGAAUCAGAGGUAAUGAUCAAUAGGGACAGACGGGGACAUUCGUAUUGCGGCGCUAGAGGUGAAAUUCUUGGACCGUCGCAAGACGAACUAAAGCGAAAGCAUUGUCAAGAAUGUUUUCAUUAAUCAAGAACGAAAGUUAGAGGUUCGAAGGCGAUCAGAUACCGCCCUAGUUCUAACCAUAAACGAUGCCAACCAGUAAUUCGUCUGAGUUCCUUAAAUGACUCGACGAGGGACUUCCGGGAAACCAAAGUCUUUCGAUUCCAGGGGAAGUAUGGUUGCAAAGCUGAAACUUAAAGAAAUUGACGGAAGGGCACCACCAGGAGUGGAGCCUGCGGCUUAAUUUGACCCAACACGGGAAAACUCACCCGGCCCGGACACUGGAAGGAUUGACAGAUUGAGAGCUCUUUCUUGAUUCAGUGGGUGGUGGUGCAUGGCCGUUCUUAGUUGGUGGAGUGAUUUGUCUGGUUAAUUCCGAUAACGAACGAGACUCUAGCCUACUAAAUAGAUCGUCGGCUUACAAACGCCGGCGAGACUUCUUAGAGGGACAGGCGGUGAUUCAACCGCACGAAACAGAGCAAUAACAGGUCUGUGAUGCCCUUAGAUGUCCGGGGCCGCACGCGCGCUACACAGAAGUGAUCAGCGUGCUUUUUUCAACCUACUCUGUCAAGAGUGGGGAACCCAAUGAACCUUCUUCGUGAUUGGGAUAGGGGAUUGUAAUUAUUCCCCUUGAACGAGGAAUUCCCAGUAAGCGCGAGUCAUAAGCUCGCGUUGAUUACGUCCCUGCCCUUUGUACACACCGCCCGUCGCUACUACCGAUUGAAUGUUUUAGUGAGGUCUUCGGACUGGCCGGCGCAGCACUCUCGUAGUGCAGCGCUGUGUUUGGAAAGAUGCCCAAACUUGAACAUUUAGAGGAAGUAAAAGUCGUAACAAGGUU
RNAcentral lists this ribosomal RNA (1411 nucleotides) under metagenome. RNAcentral describes it as "SSU rRNA". It matches the Rfam family "Eukaryotic small subunit ribosomal RNA", at positions 372 to 1801 of the family's 1831-position model. The record is from RNAcentral.